GGCCCGCACAAGCGGUGGAGCAUGUGGUUUAAUUCGAUGCAACGCGAAGAACCUUACCUGGCCUUGACAUCCACGGAAUUCGGCAGAGAUGCCUUAGUGCCUUCGGGGAACCGUGAGACAGGUGCUGCAUGGCUGUCGUCAGCUCGUGUUGUGAAAUGUUGGGUUAAGUCCCGCAACGAGCGCAACCCUUAUCCUUUGUUGCCAGCGAGUAAUGUCGGGAACUCAAAGGAGACUGCCGGUGACAAACCGGAGGAAGGUGGGGAUGACGUCAAGUCAUCAUGGCCCUUACGGCCAGGGCUACACACGUGCUACAAUGGCGCAUACAAAGAGAAGCGAACUCGCGAGAGCAAGCGGACCUCACAAAGUGCGUCGUAGUCCGGAUCGGAGUCUGCAACUCGACUCCGUGAAGUCGGAAUCGCUAGUAAUCGUAGAUCAGAAUGCUACGGUGAAUACGUUCCCGGGCCUUGUACACACCGCCCGUCACACCAUGGGAGUGGGUUGCAAAAGAAGUAGGUAGCUUAACCUUCGGGAGGGCGCUUACCACUUUGUGAUUCAUGACUGGGGUGAAGUCGUAACAAGGUA
This 582-nucleotide ribosomal RNA is filed under the name uncultured deep-sea bacterium. RNAcentral's name for it is "bacterial SSU rRNA". It matches the Rfam family "Bacterial small subunit ribosomal RNA", at positions 918 to 1498 of the family's 1533-position model. The record is from RNAcentral.